RNAcentral lists this ribosomal RNA (434 nucleotides) under uncultured bacterium. RNAcentral's name for it is "partial 16S ribosomal RNA". It matches the Rfam family "Bacterial small subunit ribosomal RNA", at positions 29 to 507 of the family's 1533-position model. The record is from RNAcentral.
AGCGAACGCUGGCGGCAGGCCUAACACAUGCAAGUCGAACGAACCUUUCGGGGUUAGUGGCGGACGGGUGAGUAACACGUGGGAACGUGCCUUUAGGUUCGGAAUAACUCAGGGAAACUUGUGCUAAUACCGAAUGUGCCCUUCGGGGGAAAGAUUAAUCGCCUUAAAAGCGGCCCGCGUCUGAUUAGCUAGUUGGUUGAGGUAAUGGCUCACCAAGGCGACGAUCAGUAGCUGGUCUGAGAGGAUGAUCAGCCACAUUGGGACUGAGACACGGCCCAAACUCCUACGGGAGGCAGCGGUGGGGAAUCUUGCGCCAUGCGCGCAAGCCUGACGCACCCAUUCCGCGUGAAUGAUGAAGGUCUUAGGAUUGUAAAAUUCUUUCGCCGGCGACGAUAAUGACGGUACCCGGAGAAGAAGCCCCGGCUAACUUCGUG